Molecule: non-coding RNA, 411 nt
Organism: Electrophorus electricus (electric eel)
Lineage: Eukaryota; Metazoa; Chordata; Actinopteri; Gymnotiformes; Gymnotidae
Source: RefSeq, a predicted model, not a curated record
GGGGUCUAUUCAUUUGUGAAUAAGUGCUGUCCAGAAGUGUUGCUUGUCACCUGAUCCUGGAUCCUCGCGCCUUGGGGCUUCUGGCCUUUGUCAUCUUCCUCCUCCUCCUGAGCCUGAUCAUCACAGCAGCAACUCAGGGCGGGUAUGGCAAAAACUGCAUGGCCUCAUGGAAGACAUUACGGCUCCUGAGUCAGUACGGCUUCCUUAAUGUUCCUCAGGAUGACAGCAGCUGGAACGAGCAGGGUAGCAGGAUCAGCGGAAAAGGCUCGGGUGCUAUUGCGAACCCAAACCUGAGCCCAGCGGGACAGUGACACAAGCUGUCCAUCACUCCUGUCCCGCCUCCCAGACCAAAUUCUCGCAAAUAUAUACACAGAAUUUCAAUCUUAAAUUUAAUUGUUGAAUUUGACAACA